This is an RNA transcript of Zingiber officinale, 6217 nucleotides long. It is a transcript of the gene named anaphase-promoting complex subunit 1, with no coding region annotated. NCBI's taxonomy places the organism in Eukaryota, Viridiplantae, Streptophyta, Magnoliopsida, Zingiberales, Zingiberaceae. The transcript has 38 exons. The record is from RefSeq and is a predicted model, not a curated record.
CCACCGAGGUUUACUACCUUCUUCGACAUCCCCCUCUUUCCCGCUUAUCUUCGAUCUCCAAAUUUGGAGUGUGCUCUACCACUUCGCUAGCAGCGAUCUUCUCCUCGCCACCGGUGUCGUCGGAGGGAUCUUUCCGACGCGCCUUUCGCUUUCUCUUCCCUCUCGUUUCUCUUACACCCAAGAAAACACACCCUACAUCUCUAGCCGCUACCUCCGCCAAUGUCGAUCGGGGUCCGCGAGUUGUCUGUCCUGGGCGAGUUCAAGCCGUUCGGUCUUUCGGUCGAGGAUCUCGACGGCAAGCCACUCGACGACGCUUCCUCGGAGCACCAGUACUUCCUCUUCCACCCGGAAGUCGCGCGUGAGGGGCACGGGACCGCCAGCAACCUCGACUUCUCCUCCCCUUGUACACCUUCCGAAGGAGAUCAUGAGAUUUUCAUACGCGGCAACCAGAUAAUAUGGAGCAGUGGGCCCCAGGUUCAUAAAAGAUACACCUCCACCAAAGCAGUCAUUAUGGUCUGUUGGUGUCACAUGGAGGGUAUUUCAGAUGCACUCCUCUGUGUUUUACAGAGUGAUGUGUUAUCUAUUUAUGGCGUGUCUGGUGAGGUUGUUUGCAUUCCUAUCCCAUCUCCCAUUGCAUCUAUAUUUCCUCUUCCAUUUGGCUUACUUCUACAGAAGUCAGUAGAUGGGAACCAUCGGAUGUCUUCCUUGGGCUCAGUUCUAGGUGCAACAGAUAUAUCUCGUUUUGGUAAAGAUUUUGUUCGGAAUUACCAAAUUUCCGGUCAACCAUUUGAACUGGUCAGAGAGAAUGAGGUUACCGUCUCAUCACAUUUGAUUCUAAAACAUCCACUUGAAGAGCCUCAGGCAACCUACAUUGAAGAAAGGGGGAAGUUUGUCUCCAUGAAAGAUUUGGAAGAAAGAACCAUUUGGAGCAGUGAUGUUGUACCUUUGAUGGCAUCAUAUCAUAGAAGCAAGAUGCAACAUUCUGUUUGGCUUGUAGAAAUCAUAAAUCGUUCUGAGGCUGAAGUUGCUGGGAUUGAUGUGGUAGCAGCUGAAUUAUCUACUAAACAAUUCUCCUUUCGGAGGAUAUGGCAGGGAAAACGCGCCCAGUAUGCUGCUAAUAAGGUGUUUCUCGCCACUGAUAUGGAUGGAGUUCCUGUUCUUUGUUUUUUACAUGCUGACCAAAAAAUACUCCUUGCUAUAAGGCUCCAAAUUGAUGAAGGUUAUGAUGACGCCCCCAUAGACAUUAAACCGCAAACCAGUUGGAUAAUUCCUGCUCUUUCUGCUGCUUCUGUUAAUGUGACACGGCCCAGAGUUAAAGUUGGGAGGUUACCAUUUAAUGACAUUAUUGUCUUGGGUGCUGAAAAUAGUCUUCUUUUAUAUUCUGGCAAACAAUGCCUUUGCAGGUUCUUCUUGCCUAAUGGUUCGGGGAGGGGCAUUUUACCUAUGAAGCAUAUUGCACGAACAACAGAUAUGCUCUAUGAUCUAAAGAUUACAGGAUUAAAAGAUGCUGUUGAAGGUCGCAUUAAUGUUAUUGUAAAUAAUGGACAGAUAUUCAGAUGUUCUUUGCGCACAAACCCCACUUCCUCUUUAGCAACCGACUGUAUAACAGCUAUGGCGGAGGGAUUGCAUUUUACCUUUUAUAGCCAUUUCGCCAGUCUCCUUUGGGGUGACCACAGUCAUUCAGAAUGGGAGGCCUUCACUGGUACAAUAAUGAGGAUCUGCAGUAGAUUCAGAGCUGGAACACCGAAACAAUAUCCCUCUUUAGCGCCUCACACAGCUUGGGAUUUUUUACUCGAUAGCAAUUUUCACAAGUGUUACCUCAAACAGUCAUUUGGACAUGGAAUCUCUCUCAAGAACUUCCCAAGUUGUAAUGGCGUUGACCAUAAUGAUUCACAGAAACUAGACAAAGAAAAUGAGAGAUUUUAUUCUCAGCUUUUGGCUGGAACUUUGGAGUUCUUGCAUGCACUUUAUGAGAGUUUGAAACUGGAUAACUUGCGAAAACAAGAUGUGAGGCAGCUGGUUUCACUAUUAAAUGCUAUGGCUGCUUCUUUGGGCGAGUCAAAUUAUGUUGAUCACUAUGUUCGUGACUUUCCCUUUCUUUUAGCUGAAGGCUUUCCUUUCCAGUCCUGUGCUUCUCCAAGAACUCCUCCAUCUAUAUUCCAAUGGAUUGAAAAUUGUAUGCAGAAGGGAUGCUACACUUCCAACAUGAAUAACCUCCCCUCUUUGCUUUUCAGAGAGAAAAUCUUUAUUGUGAGUUGGGCCAGAAAGAUUGUGUCAUUCUAUAGUUUACUUUUAGGUGCAGAAAGGGAAGGUAGGAAGCUCUCAACUGGAGUGCAUUGUGAAAUUGCUAGUGGAUCAGCAAAAACACGAGAGGAAUUAACAGUCUUGGCUAUGGCUGGGGAAAGAUUUGGACGCCAACAACUUGACUUGCUACCUCUUGGCGUAUCUCUUCCUCUGCGUCAUGCUCUGGACAAUUGCCGAGAAUCCCCUCCAACUGAUUGGCCUGCUUCUGCAUAUGUUCUUGUUGGCCGUGAGGACUUGGCUCUAGCAUCUUUGAGAUCCCUGAGCAAAGAAACUGAGUCUCAAAGCACUACGAACUUAGUGUCCAUAUCUGUGCCAUACAUGCUUCAUUUGCAGCCUGUUUCUCUACCCUCAUCUCUUGCUGAGAUAAAUGGAUUAGAUAGUAUGAAGCUUGAGGACUUAGACUCGGCUCAUAAAUCUUUUGAAGAUGGCAUGGAACAUAUCUUCAAUUCUAGCACCCAAAUGCGGUUCGGCCAUGAUUUAAGGUUGAAUGAGGUUAGACGCCUGUUAUGCUCCUCAAGGCCUGUGGCUAUGGAAACGUCUACUAAUCUUAGUGCUUCUGAUCAGGACCUGCAACAGCAUCAACUUUGGAAUCUUGCACAAAGGACUACAGCUCUCCCAUUUGGUCGUGGAGCAUUCACUUUAGCCACUACCUAUGCUCUGUUGACUGAGGCUCUUUGUGUUCCCAAGCUUAUUUUGGCUGGCAGAUUACCCGCACAGCAAAAUGCUACCGUAAAUCUAGACCCUAGUUCAAGGAAUAUUUCAGAACUCAGAUCUUGGCCUGAGUUUCAUAAUGGUGUUGCUUCUGGAUUAAGGUUGGCACCCUUUGAGGGUAAGAUGUCCAGAACAUGGAUUCAAUAUAACAAACCUGAGGAACCAAACUUCACUCAUGCUGGCAUUCUUCUAGCAUUUGGUCUUCAUGGACAUUUAAGUGCUUUAUCUAUGGCAGACGUGUAUCGGUACUUAACUCAGGAACAUGAUAUUACUACAGUCGGAAUGCUUCUAGGUAUGGCAGCAUCUUAUCGUGGAACAAUGCAUCUUGAAGUAUCAAAGAUGCUAUACCUCCAUGUUCCCUCUCGACACCAGUUGUCUUUUCCUGAGUUGGAACUGCCAACAAGUUUGCAGUCUGCUGCUUUGGUGGCCAUUGGCCUUCUCUACGAAGGUUCAGCACACCCAUUCACCAUGAAGAUUCUUUUGGGUGAGAUUGGUCGAAGAAGUGCUGGUGACAAUGUGCUUGAAAGAGAAGGAUAUGCUGUUGCUGCUGGAUAUGCUCUGGGACUUGUAGCUUUAGGUCGAGGAAAUGAUGCCCUUGGCUUUGUAGACCGAUUUGUGGAUCGAAUUUUCCAGUAUAUUGGCGAGAAAGGAGUUAAAAAUGAGAAAUUUUCAGUAGUUGCACAACCAGCAGAAGAUCAUGUCCGUAUUCUUGGGCAGAUAGUGGAUGGAGCCCAUGUAAAUGUUGAUGUGACAGCUCCUGGUGGUACAAUUGCACUCGCUCUGAUAUUUAUGAAGACAGAAUCAGAAGAAAUUGUGUCUAGACUCCGUCUGCCCAUUAGCCACUAUGAUCUGCAGUAUGUUAGGCCUGACUUCAUCAUGCUUCGUGUCAUUGCACGUAAUUUGAUUAUGUGGAGCAACAUGCAACCAUCUAUUAUUUGGAUUGAAUCUCAAAUUCCUGAUUUUAUCCGAUUAGCGGUCCUGAAAUUAGAUGGAGCUAGUAGUGAUGAUGAUGAGUUCGAUGCAGAAGCUAUUGUCCAGGCAUAUGUGAACAUUGUAUCCGGUGCUUGCAUUUCACUUGGAUUGAAGUAUGCUGGCACCAAAAGUGAAGAGGCUCGGGAGCUGCUUUAUAAUUAUGCUCUAUACUUUCUUAAUGAGUUUAAGCACAUUCCAGCAAUGGCUAAUGUCUUACCAAAGGAAUUGCUGCAUUAUGUGGAUCGCGGGACAUCAGAAAUAUGUUUGCAUCUGAUUAUUCUCUCUCUCUCUCUGGUUAUGGCAGGAUCAGGGCAUUUGCAAACAUUUCGAUUAUUGAGAUACUUGCGUGGUCGAGGUUCUACAGAAGGACAAAUAAAUUAUGGAACACAAAUGGCUGUUAGCUUAGCCAUUGGUUUUUUAUUCCUUGGUGGUGGCAUGCAAACCUUUUCAACUGGAAACAGUGCUGUUGCUGCACUGUUGAUUACUCUUUAUCCUCGUUUUCCUACAGGUCCGAAUGACAAUCGUUGCCACCUUCAGGCCCUACGGCAUUUGUAUGUAAUUGCUGCUGAAUCUCGUCGGCUGCAGACAGUGGAUGUUGAUACAGGUCUUCCGGUAUAUUGUCCAAUUGAAAUUACAAUCAAAGAGACAGAACAUUAUGCUGAGUCCAGCUAUUGCGAAGUUACUCCUUGCAUUCUUCCAGAACGUUGUGUGCUGAAGACUGUUCACAUUUGUGGGCCUAGAUAUUGGCCUCAAGUCAUACAAGUUAUACCUGAAGAAAAACCUUGGUGGAGAUUUGAGGAUAAGAGUGACCCUUUUAAUGGUGGUAUCUUAUAUGUUAAGAGAAAAGUUGGCUCCUGUUCCUACGAGGAUGACCCCAUUGGUUGUCAGUCUUUGCUUUCAAGAGCAAUGCAUAAGGUUUUUGAUAUGACGGAUUUGGACUAUGCAAACAUGAGAAACAGCAAUAACCCUGUACCUGAUUCAUACAAAAUGGAUCAAUUGGUUAGCACAUUUUCUGGUGAUCCAAGCUUGAUUGCUUUUGCUCAACUUUGCUGUGACUCCUGGAGGAGCAGGUCAGAUCCCAAUUUCCAGGAGUUUUGCUCACAAUUAAUAUUUGAAUGUGUGAGCAAAGACAGGCCAGCUCUUCUUCAGAUCUAUCUCUCAUUAUAUGCUUUGAUUGAGUCAAUGUGGAAGCAGGCUAACAACAGCCAUCUUAUUUUCGAAGAUUCACUUUUCCUUUCUAGUAUAAAGCUUACUUUAGCUUACAAUGAAUCUCUUGUCACUGGCAAACUGUCUUCUCCAAUUGGAUCUAUUGUUCAAUGUGCAUUCAUUCAGUCAGUUCGGAAGCACAUAGAUGAAAUUUUGACCUGUUCAAAAAGUCUUAGUGAGAACUUCUUCAAUUAUUUGGAGACGGGAAAGUGGCCUGAUUAUCAAAGUGAUAGGGGUAAAUCAGAUGCAAUGUUUCUUUCUUGGUACCUGCUCUGGUAUGGGAUACCAUCAUCUCAUCUUGUGAAGUCAGCUGUUAAAAAUAUCAAAUCGAAGGCUCCAAUGUCCUUAUCUAUGGUUCCUCUCUUGCAAUUAUUGUUUCCAUCAACUCAAACAAAAGGAAUUUUUGAAAUCAACAAGUUUCAUUACUCGUCAUAGCAGGAGAAUCAUACAAUUGAAGUAAAAAAACAUCAUCUUGUGCGAUCUCUUCAGAGACUGAAGCAGGUUGUCUUUAACUCCGAUCUAAUUUUGACCGAAAUGACAUGGAUUUGACAACUACCAGAGAAGAUGGCAUACCACUUAGCGGACCUUUUCAUGCAAAUCUUUUUGGAGUGGUUCUCUCUUUGCUGGAAAUCUACGACGACCAAGAAACUACAUGACAGGUUAUUGUUAAGUUUCUGGGUCCUUUUCUGACACAUUCUGGCAAUCAAUGUCUCAUAUGGAGACGUUAUUUAACAACUGUUGGGGGUACCAAGUUCUUGUUGAGUUGCUAUUCUGCCUCGAAAACCUGCUUUGAAUUCUAGAAUGAACACCUGUGAGCCAGGAGUGAAUGAGGUGAGGUUGUCUUUCAUAUUUUUGGCUGACAAGCAGAUGAAUUGUAACACUUACAAGUAAUUGCCAAGGAAGAUGAAUUGUAUUUAAUUUUAAAUUAAUUGUAAAAGAUAUUAUAAAGGUUAUUUAGUUUAUACAGUCGUGAUAAGGCUCCAAAAGACAUUCUUCAAAUUUCAAAGAAUUUCAGUUAAUUGUA